CCGCACGGAUGUUAGCCUGGCUGAUUUUGUUGGCCGUAGUACAGCCCAUGUUCUGGAGAAGCUGUAAAAUGGGGUUUCGCCGCCGCCACGGCGGCCGGAAAUCGCCCAUGAGUAAAUCGCCAUGAGCUCUCCAGACCGGCGCCGGCGAGCGCCAUCCUCUCCUCCGUCUGAUUCGUCCCGACUCGAUGGCACCGCUCCAAUUUCCUCACCGCCGACGAGGUCAGUGCACCGAGUCUCCUCCCUUGCUCAUGACCUCACACGGAAAUAACGAAGCAGAUGUUCAUUCAUUCAUCUGUCGAUUCCUUGCAAAUCUGAGCGAUUUGUAGUUGUGAUUUGUGAAUCAGAGUGAUUACCUAGCUAAUAGCUAUUAAAGAGUUAUAAACAGUAUUUUUAAGAGUAAAAUGCAGUACUAUAUAUUGCAGGCACUUUUGAUUCAAGAAAGCAGUUAGCUUUAUUUACUGCAACCUGUCUGUCACUAAAUUCAGCUGUUUGUUCCACAAGCUAUCAGAUAUACACUUCUUUGCAAAGCACAGAUCUGGCUUUUCCAGUCGUAAAACAUAUAUAUAAUUUUCUGCAGCUCAAUUACAGUGGUUACUUUGACUUCGGUGUGCCGCACUUUGGUGUGCUGGGAUAGAAGACAGGAUAGUAGGUGUUCAGCUCAAGCUGGUCCAGGAUUUGAUUGACAAGUGUCAAGUAGGAAGAAUGUCCAACGAUGAGCUCACUGGCAUCAACCUGUGAGUUCAGAAAUAUUAUCGAGUUUUUAGCUGUAUAGAGGAAAUUUUUUGGCCCAGUUGAAUGCCGCAACACACUUACAUUUUCAACUCCAGGUACAUUAACUGCUUGGAUGCCGGCCAAGCCUUGUGAAAGCAGGCUACAUGAGAGAUCAUUUUCAUGGAAAAAAUGAUGACUCCACAUCCACAAUCUG
RNAcentral lists this long non-coding RNA (925 nucleotides) under Oryza sativa (Asian cultivated rice). Its description in RNAcentral is "long non-coding RNA (OSAT_LNC001879)". The record is from RNAcentral. Lineage: Eukaryota; Viridiplantae; Streptophyta; Magnoliopsida; Poales; Poaceae.